RNAcentral lists this ribosomal RNA (505 nucleotides) under uncultured bacterium. RNAcentral describes it as "partial 16S ribosomal RNA". It matches the Rfam family "Bacterial small subunit ribosomal RNA", at positions 28 to 507 of the family's 1533-position model. The record is from RNAcentral.
GACGAACGCUGGCGGCGUGCCUAAUACAUGCAAGUAGAACGCACAGUUUAUACCGUAGCUUGCUACACCAUAGACUGUGAGUUGCGAACGGGUGAGUAACGCGUAGGUAACCUGCCUGGUAGCGGGGGAUAACUAUUGGAAACGAUAGCUAAUACCGCAUAAUAUUAAUUAUUGCAUGAUAAUUAAUUGAAAGGUGCAAUUGCACCACUACCAGAUGGACCUGCGUUGUAUUAGCUAGUAGGUGAGGUAACGGCUCACCUAGGCGACGAUACAUAGCCGACCUGAGAGGGUGAUCGGCCACACUGGGACUGAGACACGGCCCAGACUCCUACGGGAGGCAGCAGUAGGGAAUCUUCGGCAAUGGACGAAAGUCUGACCGAGCAACGCCGCGUGAGUGAAGAAGGUUUUCGGAUCGUAAAGCUCUGUUGUAAGAGAAGAACGGGUGUGAGAGUGGAAAGUUCAUACUGUGACGGUAUCUUACCAGAAAGGGACGGCUAACUACGUG